CAAUAGCGUAUAUUAAAGUUGUUGCAGUUAAAAAGCUCGUAGUUGAAAUUUUGGGACGAGGGACUAGGACAAGUCCUCUGUCCCUCGGACUAAUACUCGCGAAGAAGUUAUCGUGCAUUAAUUUGUGCUUUAACGGAGUCGUGUCAUUUACUGUGAACAAAUUAGGGUGUUUAAAGCAGGCCUACGUUUGAAUACAUUAGCAUGGAAUAAUAAGAUAUGACCUUGGUUGUAUUUUGUUGGUGACUGCCAAAGUAAUGAUUGAUAGAAACUGUUGUGGGUAUUCGUAUGAGCAUGUCAGAGGUGAAAUUCUUGGAUUUUGAUCAGACGAACUACUGCGAAAGCAUUUACCAAGGAUGUUUNCAUUAA
RNAcentral lists this ribosomal RNA (366 nucleotides) under uncultured eukaryote. RNAcentral describes it as "partial 18S ribosomal RNA". It matches the Rfam family "Eukaryotic small subunit ribosomal RNA", at positions 592 to 976 of the family's 1831-position model. The record is from RNAcentral.